GACGAACGCUGGCGGCGUGCCUAAUACAUGCAAGUCGAACGAGUGGCGGACGGGUGAGUAACAAGUGGGAACCUACCCAUCAGAGGGGGAGAACUACUGGCAACGGUAGCUAAUCCCGCAUACCAUCAGAUGGGCCCAGAUGGGAUUAGCUGGUUGGUGGGGUAACGGCUCACCAAGGCGACGAUCCCUAGCUGGUCUGAGAGGAUGACCAGCCACACUGGAACUGAGACACUGUCCAGACUCCUACGGGAGGCAGCAGUGGGGAAUAGUGCACAAUGGGCGCAAGCCGGAUGCAGCCAUGCCGCGUGUAUGAAGAAGGCCUUCGGGUUGUAAAGUACUUUCAGCGGGGAGGCGUUACUCGCAGAAGAAGCACCGGCUAACUCCGUGCCAGCCGCCGCGGUAAUUC
RNAcentral lists this ribosomal RNA (406 nucleotides) under uncultured bacterium. RNAcentral describes it as "partial 16S ribosomal RNA". It matches the Rfam family "Bacterial small subunit ribosomal RNA", at positions 28 to 526 of the family's 1533-position model. The record is from RNAcentral.